This 256-nucleotide ribosomal RNA is filed under the name uncultured bacterium. RNAcentral's name for it is "partial 16S ribosomal RNA". It matches the Rfam family "Bacterial small subunit ribosomal RNA", at positions 521 to 776 of the family's 1533-position model. The record is from RNAcentral.
UAAUACGUAGGUGGCGAGCGUUAUCCGGAUUUACUGGGUGUAAAGGGCGUGCAGGCGGGUCCGCAAGUCGGGUGUGAAAUAUCCGGGCUUAACCCGGAAAGGUCAUUCGAAACUGCGGAUCUUGAGUACUGGAGAGGACAGUGGAAUUCCUGGUGUAGCGGUAAAAUGCGUAGAUAUCAGGAGGAACACCAGUGGCGAAGGCGGCUGUCUGGACAGUAACUGACGCUGAGGCGCGAAAGCGUGGGGAGCAAACAGG